CCUACGGGAGGCUGCAGUGAGGAAUAUUGGUCAAUGGACGAGAGUCUGAACCAGCCAAGUAGCGUGAAGGAUGACUGCCCUAUGGGUUGUAAACUUCUUUUAUAAAGGAAUAAAACGAGGCACGUGUGCCUUUUUGCAUGUACUUUAUGAAUAAGGAUCGGCUAACUCCGUGCCAGCAGCCGCGGUAAUACGGAGGAUCCGAGCGUUAUCCGGAUUUAUUGGGUUUAAAGGGAGCGUAGAUGGGUUGUUAAGUCAGUUGUGAAAGUUUGCGGCUCAACCGUAAAAUUGCAAUUGAUACUGGCAGUCUUGAGUACAGUUGAGGUAGGCGGAAUUCGUGGUGUAGCGGUGGAAUGCUUAGAUAUCACGAAGAACCCCGAUUGCGAAGGCAGCUUACUAAACUGUGACUGACAUUGAUGCUCGAAAGUGUGGGUAUCAAACAGGAUUAGAUACCCCAGUAGUC
Molecule: ribosomal RNA, 460 nt
Filed under: uncultured bacterium
Lineage: Bacteria
Description: partial 16S ribosomal RNA
Rfam family: Bacterial small subunit ribosomal RNA
Source: RNAcentral